Molecule: long non-coding RNA, 1128 nt
Filed under: Lotus japonicus
Lineage: Eukaryota; Viridiplantae; Streptophyta; Magnoliopsida; Fabales; Fabaceae
Description: long non-coding RNA (LJAP_LNC000070)
Source: RNAcentral
UCUAACCCAGUUUUCAUCUACACGCAGCGCAGGCAUCAUGAGCAUCGGGUUCAGUCCCUUUCGUCCCAAUCCACAACCCUAAUUCUGCCGGAUCCUCCGAUCGGACUCCGCCGUAAUUCAAAACCCUCAACCACCGCAUUCUCUGUAAGACUUCAUUCAUUCAAUUCAAUUCAAGUUUUCCUCUUUCUUUUUAUAUAUAAAAAUUAAAAUGAAAUAAAAAAUAUCUCCAAAUCGUUAGCUUCUUCAAUAAGUGUUUUCUUCUUACGAAUCUUUAAUAUAAAUUUCAUUUUCACCCACUCUGUUCCCUUUCUUGUGAAAUUGCACUAUUUAAUGGUUUGAGAAUUAAGGUUUAGUUGAAAAAAAUGCAGAAAUUUGGCAUAGGAGUUUCAUGAUUAGUGGAAUUUUCGGCAUCGUUUAGCUUUCAGGUUAUGAUUUAUUCAAAUUUUUUAUUUUUUUUUGAGUGAGACACUCUCAAAAUUGGGGGUUUUCAUGUUCAAUUUUUCAUGGGUAUGCUAUUGCUAAGUAAUGAAUAUCCUAUCAAAAUUAAUUUAGAAAAAGGGAAAAAAAAAGGAAUAGUUAACCUAAGUGUAGUUGGAAAUGAACUAUGGAAGAUACCUGUCACUUGCCUUGUGUUUUGGUCCCUGCAUUUUUUCUUGGAUGUAUAAAAUCUUCUAAAAUUGGGUGAACUUUGUAUUGUUUAUGAAAAAGAAUGAGGGAGGGUUUGGAAGUGCAAGAGAAGGUUCCCGCCUUUACAAAACAUGCUCAAAGGGUACAUGAAUUUAACUGAAUGAAAUGUUCAAGCUACAAAGCCUCUACAUUUUUUUUUCUCUCUUACCCUUUCACCUAAGUGGUGGUGGUAGAUUUAUGACUUGUUGAUGUUAUGCAUUUUUAAUUUAUUUAUUUACCAUUUUAGGUAGCUUUCUAUGAUUGAUUUCUUUUAACUUACUCCAUCUUUUCAGGUGUCAUAAGUAGAUUAUUGCAGUCCCAAGCAUAUGUGAUGGAAAUAGCAAAUGAUUCAGGCAUAAAGAAGCCGAAAAGGCUUACAUCCGUCGUGUGGAAUCACUUUGAAAGGAUUAGGAAGGCGGAUGUCUGCUAUGCUGUUUGCGUACACUGUAACAAGAAGCUUNN